AGGAUGAACGCUGGCGGCGUGCCUAAUACAUGCAAGUGAAACGGGUAUCUUCGGAUACCAGUCGCGGACGGGUGAGUAAUACAUAGGCAACCUGCCUUUAUGAGGGGGAUAACCGAGGGAAACUUUGGCUAAUACCGCAUGAAGACUCUAAGGCAUCUAGAGGGAUAAAAGUUGGAAACAACGCAUGAAGAUGGGCUUAUGGCGCAUUAGCUAGUUGGUGAGAUAGAAGCCCACCAAGGUAAUGAUGCGUAGCCGACCUGAGAGGGUGAACGGCCACAUUGGGACUGAGACACGGCCCAAACUCCUACGGGAGGCAGCAGUAGGGAAUUUUCGGCAAUGGGGGGAACCCUGACCGAGCAACGCCCGCGUGAAGGAAGAAGGUUUUCGGAUUGUAAACUUCUGUUAUAAGGGAAGAACGGAUUGGAUAGGGAAUGAUCUGAUAGUGGCGGUACCUUAUUAGAAAGCCACGGCUAACUACGUGCCAGCCGCCGC
Molecule: ribosomal RNA, 492 nt
Filed under: uncultured bacterium
Lineage: Bacteria
Description: bacterial SSU rRNA
Rfam family: Bacterial small subunit ribosomal RNA
Source: RNAcentral